UUGUCCUCGGGGGGCAGCAGUGAGGAAUAUUGGUCAAUGGGCUUACGCCUGAACCAGCCAAGUCGCGUGAGGGAAGACUGCCCUAUGGGUUGUAAACCUCUUUUGUCAGGGAGCAACGCCGGCUACGUGUAGCCGGACUGAGAGUACCUGAAGAAAAAGCAUCGGCUAACUCCGUGCCAGCAGCCGCGGUAAUACGUAGGGGGCGAGCGUUAUCCGGAAUUACUGGGUGUAAAGGGAGCGUAGACGGCGAGGUAAGCCUGAAGUGGAAGCCCGCGGCCCAACCGCGGAACUGCUUUGGGAACUGU
Molecule: ribosomal RNA, 305 nt
Filed under: uncultured bacterium
Lineage: Bacteria
Description: bacterial SSU rRNA
Rfam family: Bacterial small subunit ribosomal RNA
Source: RNAcentral